RNAcentral lists this ribosomal RNA (505 nucleotides) under uncultured bacterium. RNAcentral's name for it is "partial 16S ribosomal RNA". It matches the Rfam family "Bacterial small subunit ribosomal RNA", at positions 28 to 507 of the family's 1533-position model. The record is from RNAcentral.
GACGAACGCUGGCGGCGUGCCUAAUUCAUGCAAGUAGAACGCACAGUUUAUACCGUAGCUUGCUACACCAUAGACUGUGAGUUGCGAACGGGUGAGUAACGCGUAGGUAACCUGCCUGGUAGCGGGGGAUAACUAUUGGAAACGAUAGCUAAUACCGCAUAAUAUUAAUUAUUGCAUGAUAAUUAAUUGAAAGGUGCAAUUGCACCACUACCAGAUGGACCUGCGUUGUAUUAGCUAGUAGGUGAGGUAACGGCUCACCUAGGCGACGAUACAUAGCCGACCUGGGAGGGUGAUCGGCCACACUGGGACUGAGACACGGCCCAGACUCCUACGGGAGGCAGCAGUAGGGAAUCUUCGGCAAUGGACGAAAGUCUGACCGAGCAACGCCGCGUGAGUGAAGAAGGUUUUCGGAUCGUAAAGCUCUGUUGUAAGAGAAGAACGGGUGUGAGAGUGGAAAGUUCACACUGUGACGGUAUCUUACCAGAAAGGGACGGCUAACUACGUG